Ailuropoda melanoleuca (giant panda) is the source of this 6157-nucleotide long non-coding RNA. RefSeq lists it as uncharacterized. NCBI's taxonomy places the organism in Eukaryota, Metazoa, Chordata, Mammalia, Carnivora, Ursidae. The transcript is spliced from 5 exons. The record is from RefSeq and is a predicted model, not a curated record.
CCGAUGUGGGACUUAAUCCCAGGACCCUGGAAUUAUGACCUGAGCCAAAGGCAGACAUUUAACCGACUGAGCCACCCAGGCAUCCCAGCACAGUAAUCUUCUAUCCAAAAUAUUCCAUUUGUUGCUGCUUUUACCCUCUCAUACUUCAGAACCCCCAAGCCCCUGGCUGCAGACUCUCCAAUUUUCUAGAAUUGUGUUGGAGUUAACAGAAUUCACCCCCAAGCAGAUUGUGUUGACUAUGAGAGACAGAGAAGCGAGGGUGCCUGCAUGGUGGGCACGUGUGUCUCUGUGGUGGUGGUGGGGAUAUAGCAAGAAUGACUUGAGAGUGGUGGAAGCUUUCUAGGGAAAAUGGCUUUGGGAAGACACGGGCAGAGCUUUGUGCAGAUGUCUCUCCAUACCCAUGAAGUUGGAUGUUAGCACUCUUAGAUGACUAUACGCCUGGCUCCUGAGCCAGUGGGGGGCGAAAUAGUGGUAUGUUGAUGAGUACUUAAUGACGGGUUUGGCAGGGAAAGGGGCAAUAAAUGAAGCCCUGAUUGGUAGUGUUUGCUGAAUUCUCAGAUUCACUUGGCUGAGUUCCAGCUACCAGUGUGAUGUCAUUGAACAUGGAGUUGGGAGGAAACGAGCAGUAACACCCCAUAUGCAGUAUCCCCACACAGAGAUCCAGGAGACAUAUAUAUCUUCAAGUGCAUAGAUAAGAGUAGGCAUAAUGAAAUAAUUAGGGAGUGAUGAGGUUUAAGUAUUUAUUGCCUUUAUUUUUAAUAUAAUUUAUUUAAUUGUAUGCCUAUAUAAUUUUUGAUGAUGGCAGUGUUUCAACAAUCAUCUGACAAAAUUCCUGAAGUUUUGACACUCAGCUCUCAUGAGUCCGUACAAGCUGGUUUUGGACAUUGGGUCCAAAGGAGAAGAACAACGCUCAGUGUGUUAGAGGAAGAUCCAAACUCCGAGGAGAAUACAAGGCUCCUGUCUCCCACUUUUUCCCCUCCCCUGGCAGGAGAAGAGCCCUAAAAUGGGUGUGAGACAAACAACUGGGCUCCUUUAACAUCACAAUAACAAAAACUAAAACAAAAAAACUCCCCAAACCAUUACCUGCUGGCACAGAAUUUUCAUCCCACCUCAUGGUUAACCCAUAUCCAUCUAGCAGAUAGCAGGUCUGGGAGGGAAGAUUUAUAGGAAGGGAAGUUUUGAGAUGGAAGGAAGAAGAGAGCUUGGGUGGUGUCAGAAUGGACAGAGACUAUCAUAGAAGGUUCUAGAAGCCAGGUAUGGUAUUUGGAUACUGGAUGCUUCAGCUGGUGAGAGAAAGCAGGAAGAAUAAUAGGAAAAAACUAAUUCCUUGCUCUUCACAGUUCUGCCCUGGGCCGGUUCUGGUACUAAUUUUGAAGAACAUUUCCUCACGAGAUUCUUAUGGUAAAGGGAAAAAACCUUAUGUGGUCUCAGAAACACAUCUUAUAAAAUAGGUCUCCCAGAAUUCAGGCCACAGAGCUGUCCUCAGCAGCCAUAAUGACACACAAAAUGAGAAGUGCCUGAGGCCUAGGUGCUACCAAAUCCUGCCCUGCUGAGGACACAUGGAGAAGAAAAUGACCAAAUGCCAUUUCAGUCCAUUAUCAAUCCAAUCUACUCCUUGAGUGGCUGCGGAGUAGAAAUCUAGUUCUAAAAAUAUCGUUGUAAUCUGUGGCUUGUAAUAAUCACACCUAUCAAAAGCCAGGUUAAAGUGUGUGUGUGUAUAUAUGUGUGUGUGUGUGUGUGUGUGUGUGUGAGAGAGAGAGAGAGAGAGAGAGAGAGCAUGUUGUGUGCAGGCUAGAAUGAGGAAAUGAACACUACCUUGUGCAUAUAUGCAACAGUAAUUUUCUUUCUCGUUUCAUAUUUUCGUUCUGGGCAGCAGAUUCAAUGCUGGCGAGCAGGGGAGUUGGGAGAAGGAAGCAGGCACUGCUGAGUACUCAUUAGGACCCAGGCACUGCAUACAGCCCCUUCCAUCCUUACCUCACACAGUGCUUGAGAACCUCUGAGGACCCGAGUGAUGACAAAUGAUUUUGUGCCUGGGCCUGGAAAACAACAUUUCAAAUUCGAAGCUUGGGAUCCUGCAGGAUUUGGUGUCUGUCUCUAUCUUACCACCCGCCUGCCCCUCCCUUGAACCUCUGUACUGACCAUCAAAUUGGGCAAAAGGCAUCAUGCUCCUACGGGCAGGGCUGCCCGAGAAGUCAGAGCUCAAGGCGUCCAGUGGCCCACUUCCUUCUGGUGACAGGCUGUUCCCUCCUGGCAUGGGUGCUGGCGGGAGGCCAGGGAGCAGUGGGGCCGUGAGGCAGCCUUGGCUCAGAGCCCUGGCUGCUGUCUGGGCAUGAAACUGGGCUCUGGCACCAGGAGCAUGGUUCUAGCUCUCUGACCCAGAGCUGCCUGUGCAGCUACCACCCCACCCAUCAGGCCCUGGUGGGGCCCAGUCCUUCUGCCCCUCAGGCAGGGCAGGCUGGGGAGCAGAGAUGGAUCUGGGAGGAAUGGCAGAAGCCAGCAGAGGAUGCCGAGGCAAAAGCAAGGAAUGUCUCCACGCAGAGAAACAGCCUCUGGGGGUGUGCCUGAGAUAGAGGAGAGAAUGGAUGUGUGUCUAGCAAGUGGACAGAGUAAGCUUUCCUCUGCUUCCUUGCUCUACGGUGGACUGGGGGCCUCAGCCCUACCAAUGGCAUCCCUCCAUGACCCCCCAGGGCCUCAAAUCCAGACGCAGUGUCUCUAAUGUGGGGCCCUCUCCCUGCCCUGAAAUGAGAGCUCUACCUGGGUCCCCGCAAACCGGUCUUUUUCAGUAGGGCCUCCUGCCGCCAGCUUUUCAACCGUGUUUUUCAGCCUCUGACCCCAGAGUAAUCUCAACUUCCUUGUACUCAGUUCAGAAGAUGUUUGCUAUUCAGGAUUCUGAUGCAGAGGUCUGAUAAGAGAGGCCUCGGGCCUUCGGAGUUCCUAAACCAGCAGAGACCAAGGAUUUGAAAGCUGAGAAGUGUAAGGACAGCCACACCCUGAGAGGUGGCCCCGCGCCAGCUCCUGUCACCUGAAAUCUUCCAGGAUAUUGAGAAAUGGGUGUUAGUGGGACUUCACUACAUUUACUUUGGAUGUCUUGUUUGUUUUGUUUUUGAAACGAGAGUUUCCCAUAGCACCAACAAAAUCCAAUCUGUGUUUUAUUGCGUCUACUGUAGCUCCUAUGCUUGGCUUGGUUUUGCUUUCUACCGCUGUGUCAAUUUUCUGCCACAGAGUAAGCCGUUGUGUAGCAAUCCAGUGUAGGAAAACAGAGAACGCUUUCCAAGCUGCCGUGGUAUCUCACCCCUAACUGGCCUAUCGGUGUGAGAGGCGCUUGGGGAGGAAGGGGCUGUCUUCAUGGGCAGCAGCUGGGGCCAGACCGUCACAGUUCCGUUUGCAACAGAGCCCACCGUACACCAAUGCUGAAAGCCUGUGUCUGUUUUAUCAGCCCAUCUCACGUGCUUCCCCUUCCCAUGGGUGACUACGUCAAGUGCUGAGGUGGAGGUGAGGUCCAAGGGCAAAGGAGGUGUGAAUUAGGCAUGGGCCAUUUUCAUCAGCCAAAGAGUACAGCAGUAACACAAGGCUGCAGGAAAUAUAAGUUUGGUGGUACAGUAACACUAAGUGGACUCCACUAACUAGACACGCUCUUGGUUUUAUACUGGGGUGCUGGUGUCACCUAGUCCCUUUCCCAAGGCUCAGUGCAAGGUUGUUUGGGACAAGUGUGUGAAAGUUGUUGCCAGAUAGUCCCAGGGUGCAAAUGCUUCCUUAUUAGCUCUGUGAUCUUGGAAGUUUUCUAGGCCUCAGUUCCCACAUCUAUAAAAGGGAGAAACUAAGCCUGUCACAUAGAAUUAAUGUGGGGGUUGAAUGAGAUUAGGAAAAUGAGGCAUGUCUACCACAUCGAACCCAUAGUAGGGACUCUCUCCAUGGACUGGAGAUCAGAGAACCCUACAGAAGGUCUGCUUUUAAGUCUUAGCCCAGCCAGGUGGUUCCACUUCUCUGUUUGCUUUGUGACAGAUGCAAAGGUUGAGAAUCCAUAUGCUGACUGAACAGCAUACUGACUUGUACUGAUGGUGCUGAUUAAUAUUGGGGUGAAGAGAAAAGUGAGCCCCUUGACUCAGCGACACAGUGUGGAGAGAAGAAUUAUCUUCGUGAACAAAUGUUGGAAGAGCAGAGCUGAGGAACACAGAAACAUGGCUGGCCUGAUCCUUGCCAUGCUGUCCAAGGACACACUCUAGUGGUAGCAUGUCUACGGUGAAUGGUUCCACUGACCCUGAGAGAGGUCUGCUACAACGUGGGGCUAAUGGAAUAGUGCCGACCCUGAGAUACCGUGAAGAUUCUAAGUGUCACUUAAAAGGACAACAUUCUAACUCCUACAACCCAACUUCAAUUAAUCCAUCUGUUCGUUCAGUGAACAUUUACUGAGUGCUUGUUUUGUGCCUGGGAAUCCAAAAAUAAGAGAGAUACUGACUCAGCCCUCCAGGAGAGUAGUCUGGUGGGAGCUACAGACACGCCAUCGGGAAAGUACAGCGCUGGUGCCAGCUGUGGGACGUGCAGGCCACUGUGGGGGAAAUAGGCAGACACCCCGCACGGCCUGGAGCUCUCAGCCCAGCCUCUAGCAACGUGAUGUAGGGUCACAGUCGCGGAAGUGUGGUUAUAGACCUGCAUGACCCAUAUUAACACGGAUCCGUCUGAUUUACCAAGGUGCAUGGCUGGCUUCAAAACAUGGACGAUUCUCUCACAAAACUGCUUCAUUCCCAGAGGUUUUGUUAAUUGGGACAUUUCUUGUCAUUAACUUGAGUAUUACGACUGACUAGCGAUAGGAGGAAAACCUAAGUUGGAGGAGGAAGGGUGGAGCGGGGGAUGCAGAAAUAGAGCGUUGGCCGGAAUCUAAGGGCAGUGGUUUGUUAAUUUAUCUGUACCUAUGCUUUUAUAUCCAUAUUUUUAAAAGCCUACUCAAGUUGUAAGAAUUUGAUUGAAAUGCAUUUUAAUUCUUAGAUAAAUUUGGGAAACAGAAGUAUUUUUUAAAACUACUACCUCUCUCCAUCUCAUUUUUUAAAGGAGGAAAAAACUUCCAGCCCUGGAAAGUUUGGCUGGGUUAAGUGUGUGUGUGUGUGCGCGCGCACGCGUGCAUGCAGAGCUCUCUUUCAUCUUCUGUAAGAACUUUACUUCUGUUAGGGAAUAACUCUCCAUUUAAGGUGUUGAGGGUUUUGAUGUCCUUGCCUGGAAGAAGUCAGGCUGGACUCAACCUCUGGUUGGAGGGCAGCUUAUCUUAAGUUCCAUCUGCUGGAGUCUCCUUUGUCCAAUCCUCUCUGUGCUCUCCUCUGGAAACCCUUUGAGGCUGGAUGCUUAACUCUCCUUUAACUCUCCCGCUUAGCGCUUCCUCUCUUAUCCGUGUAUUGAUGAUGGCCGGAUUGUUAGCUCCAACCCAAAUAUUUCCCACCAGCAGCAGACCUGUUUCCUCUUACCAAUUAGACAUCUUUCGUGCAUGUUCCACGGGCACCUCAGACCUAACAGACUCAAACUGUUCCCCCGAGAGUGCUUGCUCUCACCCAGCGGCGCCUGUCUUAGUGGGAGCUGCUGCAUCCGGGAGUCAUACUCACAGCCCAUCCAUUACCAAGGCCUAGUCCAUCCCCAAGUAUCCUUCCUGUUCUCCUCCUCCCCUCCACUCCUAAGGCCAACGCUCUUCUUCAGGCUCUCCUCAGCUCCUUCUGGGUUGUUAUUAAUUAUCUCUCUAUCCCUCUUAGUCUUCUCAACCCAUGCUUUCCUCUACCACCAGAUAUAUCUUUAUAAUGUGCAAUCUCCGUGUCUCUUCCUUGUGUCAAAUCAUUCCGGGGUUUUCCAUUUUCUAGCUCAUCAUAGCGGUGGACGACUAACUCAUUUGAAUAGUUUCCUUCUCAAAUGUUAGCUAUACUUAAAAAAUAGUUUCAUUCUCUUUGGUGGGUUUUCUUCCUAUUACAUGGCCGUGGCUCCUCGGGCUCUUUGCUGGCAUCUGCUUCUCUGCUUGACCUGUAACACUCAGCAGGCCCACAGUGUGGGUUCUCUGCCCUCUUCUCCCUUCUGAUUACAUGGCCUUCUUUGGUGACCUUAUCCAUGGCUCCUGGUGGCAGCUACACACUGAUUCCCACAGUUAUGACUCUAGCGCUGACCUUUCUGCUGAGCUCGAGACUGA